CCUACGGGAGGCAGCAGUAGGGAAUCUUCCACAAUGGGCGAAAGCCUGAUGGAGCAACGCCGCGUGGGUGAAGAAGGUCUUCGGAUCGUAAAACCCUGUUGUUAGAGAAGAAAGUGCGUGAGAGUAACUGUUCACGUUUCGACGGUAUCUAACCAGAAAGCCACGGCUAACUACGUGCCAGCAGCCGCGGUAAUACGUAGGUGGCAAGCGUUAUCCGGAUUUAUUGGGCGUAAAGGAAACGCAGGCGGUCUUUUAAGUCUGAUGUGAAAGCCUUCGGCUUAACCGGAGUAGUGCAUUGGAAACUGGGAGACGUGAGUGCAGAAGAGGAGAGUGGAAUUCCAUGUGUAGCGGUGAAAUGCGUAGAUAUAUGGAAGAACACCAGUGGCGAAAGCGGCUCUCUGGUCUGUAACUGACGCUGAGGUUCGAAAGCGUGGGUAGCAAACAGGAUUAGAUACCCCGGUAGUC
This 465-nucleotide ribosomal RNA is filed under the name uncultured bacterium. Its description in RNAcentral is "partial 16S ribosomal RNA". It matches the Rfam family "Bacterial small subunit ribosomal RNA", at positions 338 to 795 of the family's 1533-position model. The record is from RNAcentral.